CUGGUGGGUAAUUAAUGGUCUUUAGAAGGGCCCAUGUGACACUGCAGAUUUCCUGCCUCGCUAGACCAUUCAUCCCCUUCUUGCGGCAGCUCGGCGUGCGACGGAAUCGCCAUGGAUGGGCUUCGAGGAAGCUGAAUCAGGAUUGAUUCCUAGAGUUCCGUGGAGAUGAAUUUGUGCGAUUCUUAGGAGGAGAUAUCUCUGUUGUGGAGUCAGUCGUUGCGUCUAUCCAUGAAGCUCGCGUGGACUCCGAAGAUUUGAUUUCCUCUGAGCACACAAACUGGCUCUAUGGAUGGUGAGCAUCCUGGCGCAGGGAGGCGCCUUUUGGAUGCAAUGCCGGGGGAAGAGGAAGCUGGCUCAUACAACGGUGCUAGCGAGGUUGUUGCCGAUUCAAACGAUAGGCCACCUGAAGAUAUCAGCGAUGCAGCCGUUCAGAGAGGAUGUAGAUGCAGAGAGCGUGUUCGUCUCCAACUCAAAAGGCUCCUGCUAGACUCGAAGGAUUAGGAUUAGUAAGGCGGCAGAUGAGAGGGAAAUCAAUCCAAGCAGGGUUCCUGCACUCGAGGCUUCAAUACGUGCUUAUGCAAACAAAAAAGCUGCUGUUGUUGUUCAUCCGGCACUGAGGACAACUUUUGAUUUGGCUGAAGAUCCUGAGUUCAAAUAUAGUGUUCAAAGUCGAUGAUGAAGGUCGAGUGAUAACUCUGAUGUGGACAACAGGAUGAAGCAUUGAGCAGUUUAAGUGCUUUGGUGAUGUUGUCACCUUCGAUACCACAUACAAAACUAAUCUUUAUGACAUGCCAUUCGGCUUUUUGUUGGUGUCAACAAUCACUUUCAGAGUAUUAUUUUUGGCGCUGUGCUGAUGAUUGACGAGAAAGUCUGCACUUUCAAGUGGAUUUUCACCGAGUUCUUUCAAAUGGUAGGGGGUGUGGUUCUAACUCAUAACUUGCCUAUUGAGAUUUAUGCUUCCAAAAUUUAUACUAGGACAAUGUUUGAAAAGUUCAGUGAGAUGCUUUAUGAAGGCGGGUUGUAUAUGCUGGUUGAAGUUGUACAGCGUCGUGAGUACACCACCGGGUAUGUUAAGAAGAAUUUGAGAGAAAUGCGGUGCAAGAAUUACUUCGUCGUUCAAGUGAACGGUCCGGGUGAUGAGUUCAAGUGUGAAUGUGGCAUGUUUGAGCAUUUCAAGAUGGUGUGCAGCCAUGCGCUUAAGGGGUCAGGAUCACAAGAGCACCACUUGUCUGCAACAAGGCGAUCUUCCAAAGGCAUCGAGGAAGUCGCCUCGAUGCUCAAGAUGCAGCUUGUGAGGUCACAGAAAGAACACUUGCACCAACCCACCAAAAUCAGACUUUCAAGAUUGAUUUCAGUGUGACUUCUUGAAGCUCGGUUUGCUAACUGAAUAAUCCACUGUUUGUCAAGUGAGAACAACACUCCGUAGGUGUGAGCUGGUGUCGCUGUUGUGCAUGCCUUUGUUAAUCCCUCUAUUGCACUGGAUUUGUGAUGUUGCUAUGACCAAAUAUGUGGUUUAACUUUUUUAGUGAUGGGAAUUCUGGGGUUCUUUGUUUC
Triticum dicoccoides is the source of this 1554-nucleotide long non-coding RNA. RefSeq lists it as uncharacterized. Lineage: Eukaryota; Viridiplantae; Streptophyta; Magnoliopsida; Poales; Poaceae. The transcript is spliced from 5 exons. The record is from RefSeq and is a predicted model, not a curated record.